Mya arenaria is the source of this 788-nucleotide long non-coding RNA. RefSeq lists it as uncharacterized. The record is from RefSeq and is a predicted model, not a curated record. The transcript is spliced from 6 exons. NCBI's taxonomy places the organism in Eukaryota, Metazoa, Mollusca, Bivalvia, Myida, Myidae.
UCAAAAGAGAAGGUCUGAAAAUAUGGAUAUCAAUAUUUGAAAUAAGUUGAAAUUUAUUAUCUGUUAACCGGUUAAAUAAUGAAAAAAAUGAUUUUAAGACUUGUUUAGAUUUAAUCUUGCGUUGUGAUAUGAUUUUUACGUGGUGAUAGGACGGAACUAUCCUUGGAUUGCUAAAAACGUUUGUCAAUCAAUUGAGGUGUGUUGUUCCCGCGGCUGCUGCAACAUCUCGUCAUCCGGAGGCUAAAUGGCCUCCAGCACACUUUGCCGCCACCAAACCUUCCGGGGUUAAGACCGCUAGCACGUGGUGUUGUACCCAUCCCUCCGAGGCCUUUUGGACAACUUCCAGGCGAUCUAGCAGCAGUCAGACGCACGCCUUUUAUUGCACGUUCCGGUGUGAUACCGCCCCCUCCAAGGCAGUUUGGGCAAGAUGGAGGAGAGUUAGGCGCAAAGAGGCGCGCGCCUUUUAUUGCACCUUCCGGGAAGCCCAGAAGCAACAAUACAAGUGUUUGUAGGAUUGGAGCCUCGCUGUUUAGAUUCGACAGAAAAAUGAACUAAAAAGCACUGGACUUAGAUAUUUUUGAUAGUUAAACUAAAUUGAUAAUUGAAGGAUACAUGGAUAGGUCAUAAAUAAUGGUAAUCCUGAAUUGAUUUAAAAUAUAAUAAUUUCAGUUCUUUUUAUACGUUAUGGUGCUAUCUUCAUCGUCUUUUGUAAACAAAUCAUUUGAACGUUUGCGAUGAAUGUUGUAGUGGUAAUAUUCUUCAUAUAGUAAUAAAUAAAUAUAAAAUAA